UUCAACUCGAGUUCACUGUUCACGUAAGUUUGAGAAAAAAAGUUGAAGAAGUUUUAGUCCUUGUUUUAUCUAAAUUUUGGGCCAUAUUAAUAAAAUGGAAUAUUGGGCCUUAUUGAUUUAAUUCUUUGGGCCUAAUGCAUUACUUAAAAUAUUUGGGCCUACUAUUUUGAUAAGGAGUUGGAAUAAUGGAUGAUUGGGCCGGAGUACUUUAAAUCAAUGGGUGACUUCACACACGCUUUUCGAGGACAGAAUGAAACACAAGUUAAAGCUUUAAACGAACGAGGUUGAGCGGUGACGAGCGCGGUGGGUGUUGAGCAUAAAAGUGAAGAAUGUCUAUCAAAUGUCUAGAAUAUGUUGUGUCUUCAUACAUAGCAUUAUUCUACUCUCGAAAUGCUUCCGCUGAAUGUUGUUUCUUUUGAGUUUAUGUAUUGUUGGGAUAUAAUCCCUUUAAGUUGUCAAUUGUUGAGAUGAUACUCUGAUUUUUUUUUAUUCGAGCUAUUCCCAUUUGUUUCGAGCUA
Salvia splendens (bonfire salvia) is the source of this 518-nucleotide long non-coding RNA. RefSeq lists it as uncharacterized. The transcript has 2 exons. Lineage: Eukaryota; Viridiplantae; Streptophyta; Magnoliopsida; Lamiales; Lamiaceae. The record is from RefSeq and is a predicted model, not a curated record.